UGUGUGUCUGUGUGUGUGUGUGUGUGUGUGUGCGCACACACACACACACACACACCAAAGACCAACA
Molecule: non-coding RNA, 67 nt
Organism: Podarcis lilfordi (Lilford's wall lizard)
Lineage: Eukaryota; Metazoa; Chordata; Lepidosauria; Squamata; Lacertidae
Source: the annotation of a GenBank genome assembly